CCUACGGGAGGCAGCAGUGGGGAAUAUUGGACAAUGGGCGCAAGCCUGAUCCAGCAAUGCCGCGUGAGUGAUGAAGGCCUUCGGGUUGUAAAGCUCUUUCGCACGCGACGAUGAUGACGGUAGCGUGAGAAGAAGCCCCGGCUAACUUCGUGCCAGCAGCCGCGGUAAUACGAAGGGGGCUAGCGUUGUUCGGAAUUACUGGGCGUAAAGGGCGCGUAGGCGGUGCCUCAAGUCAGGCGUGAAAGCCCCGGGCUCAACCUGGGAACCGCGCUUGAGACUGGAGUACUAGAGUUCGGGAGAGGAUGGUGGAAUUCCCAGUGUAGAGGUGAAAUUCGUAGAUAUUGGGAAGAACACCGAUGGCGAAGGCAGCCAUCUGGACCGACACUGACGCUGAGGCGCGAAAGCGUGGGGAGCAAACAGGAUUAGAUACCCCGGUAGUC
Molecule: unclassified non-coding RNA, 440 nt
Filed under: uncultured fungus
Lineage: Eukaryota; Fungi
Description: partial internal transcribed spacer 1
Rfam family: Bacterial small subunit ribosomal RNA
Source: RNAcentral